This 467-nucleotide ribosomal RNA is filed under the name uncultured bacterium. Its description in RNAcentral is "partial 16S ribosomal RNA". It matches the Rfam family "Bacterial small subunit ribosomal RNA", at positions 28 to 506 of the family's 1533-position model. The record is from RNAcentral.
GACGAACGCUGGCGGCGUGCUUAACACAUGCAAGUCGAACGGAAAGGCCCUGCUUUUGUGGGGUGCUCGAGUGGCGAACGGGUGAGUAACACGUGAGUAACCUGCCCUUGACUUUGGGAUAACUUCAGGAAACUGGGGCUAAUACCGGAUAGGAGCUCCUGCUGCAUGGUGGGGGUUGGAAAGUUUCGGCGGUUGGGGAUGGACUCGCGGCUUAUCAGCUUGUUGGUGGUGUAGUGGCUUACCAAGGCUUUGACGGGUAGCCGGCCUGAGAGGGUGACCGGCCACAUUGGGACUGAGAUACGGCCCAGACUCCUACGGGAGGCAGCAGUGGGGAAUAUUGCACAAUGGGCGGAAGCCUGAUGCAGCAACGCCGCGUGCGGGAUGACGGCCUUCGGGUUGUAAACCGCUUUCGCCUGUGACGAAGCGUGAGUGACGGUAAUGGGUAAAGAAGCACCGGCUAACUACGC